CAGGCACGUAUGUUGGGGAACCCCAGC
Molecule: non-coding RNA, 27 nt
Filed under: Homo sapiens (human)
Lineage: Eukaryota; Metazoa; Chordata; Mammalia; Primates; Hominidae
Source: RNAcentral